GACGAACGCUGGCGGCGUGCCUAACACAUGCAAGUCGAACGGUCCGGCACUCAACCGACCCUCAGUCUAGCUGUAGGUGAAGUUGAGUGCCGGAUAGUGGCGGACGGGUGAGUAACGCGUGGGCAACCAACCCUGUACAGUGGGAUAACACCGGGAAACCGGUGCUAAUACCGCAUGACACCUAGAUGGUGCAUACUGUUUAGGUUAAAAGGAUUUAACCGGUACAGGACGGGGCCCGCGUCCCAUUAGCUGGUUGGUGAGGUAACGGCUCACCAAGGCGACGAUGGGUAGCCGACCUGAGAGGGUGACCGGCCACACUGGGACUGAGACACGGCCCAGACUCCUACGGGAGGCAGCAGUGGGGAAUAUUGCGCAAUGGACGGAAGUCUGACGCAGCGACGCCGCGUGAGCGACGAAGGCCUUCGGGUCGUAAAGCUCUGUUCUUGGGGACGAAGGAAAGUGACGGUACCCAAAGGAGAAAGACCCCGGCUAACUACGUAGCCAGCAGCCGCGGUAAUAGUCACGUCGCG
This 530-nucleotide ribosomal RNA is filed under the name uncultured bacterium. RNAcentral describes it as "bacterial SSU rRNA". It matches the Rfam family "Bacterial small subunit ribosomal RNA", at positions 28 to 536 of the family's 1533-position model. The record is from RNAcentral.